AGCAAACGGAAAAUCGUUUUUGAAUUUUCCACCCAUUCAGUAAGUUUCGGCCGAUGAAAGUGUUUUAAGCUUUCCGCGACGAUCGCGCCGUCCAAUUUCAUUAAAUUUAAAAUAAUCCUCUUUGCCCAGUUCUGUCCGCCUCAAAUAGAACUAGCUCAGUGAAAACGGAGGAAAUUGCACUUUCAGUUUCUUGAAAAUUUUGCAAAAAUUGAAGUUUUCUUACGCGGAAAAGUUAAGAGUAAUUGUGAAAGUUGUGGAAAUUGAAAAUUUACCGAGAUCCUGUAUUUUUGUGCUGUGAAAAUAUUACAUAAUAGAAAAUUUAAAAAAAAGAAAAAUCUUUAUUAUUUUUGGGUAUCGGAAAGUGAUAGGUAUCCUUCGAAAUUGCAGAAAAUCUUUUUAUAUAACACAAGCCCCAAAACAAAUAGUGUGAAAAGAUUAUAAAUAAUCUACCAGGAAAGCAGUUUUCAAUUUAAAAAAAAAAGUUUCCAUUUAGUGAUUUUCACAAGAAGAAAAGUGUCGCGUUUGAAACGAAGAAAUUCAUGUGUUUUUGACCAAGAGAAGGAGAGUGAAAAUUUUCUUCAAGUUAAAAAUAGGAAAAUUGGAUAGUGCCUAGUCCCGGGAUAUGUUCAGCUUUAGAUUGGAUUUAUAAUUUUAAAUUAAAAUAAAAUGAGUAAUUUAAAUGGAUUGCCGAGAACAACAUCGCCGAAACUCAAAUCCGGUCGCUCGAUGCCGCAAUGGAUGACUGAAACACACGAUCGAAUCGGGCCCAAACCACCUGCUGCACCCCCGCAGUCAAACGAUGCGCCACCUGCUUUACCACCCAAAAAGAGUCAACUGGAACCGGACUAUGAAGUGAUCGAGUUCAAUAGUCAGUACACAAAUGCAGCACCACGCCCUAAGACACCAGAUGUGAAGCGAAUCGAUGGUAUCAAGUGCACAUUGUGCGGAUCCAAUUCGGCAUAUGUCAAGUGUGAGGAAUGUCCGCAGCAGUACUUUUGUGCAUCCUGCGAUGACAUGUUUCACAGACAUCCCAAGCGCCAGACGCAUUCACGGAAGGCAAUCGAGAAGAUCCAGACUGUCAAGCCACCACUGCCACCCAAAUCAGACUCCCAUUUAGCUAAUCCACCGGUACCCCCACCCAGACGAAACAAAAAGGGAAUGCCCAGUCCAAUGCCAGUGCGCAAGGAACAGAUGAUGGGUGGGAUGGGAGGCGGAGGAGGAUCAAUCGGACCAGUAUCACUUCACCAUCGAGCUCCAAGUCCAUCGUCAUCACUUGCCGAUCGUAUGGCAAAUUUUCGACGUAUGGCACCGAAUCAUACAAAUCGUCCACUUCCAGACACUCCCGCUAACCAGGAACCUUUCCGACAAACAGCCUCGCCAAGGUCAACCACGCCCAAUAGUAUGCGAUCUACAGCGUUCGAUUCAAUCCAACGACCACCAUCGAUUGCUUUGGAAAAGAUCAAAUCAAAAGCUCACGCGACCCUCGAUCGGAUGGCAUUGCUCCAGCAAAGAUACCGCCAACACCAGGAGAACAUGCGCAAUGGAAAAGUUGGCGAUGAUUCCGUGGGACGUCGUUUGAGUAAUGCAUCUAAUUUCAAUGAAUCUCAGUUACACUUAUCAUCUGAUCAGUGGUCAGGACCACCUUCUCCCACUCGAAACCGUUCCAGUAGCAUAUCAUCUGGACUGAAUCUUGCUCAACCCCAUAAUAAUUUCGAUGCUUCACAUUUUCAUUUUCCCCACCAACAUCAGAUGGAUACCCGUCAACAGAUGAAUCCCCAAAUGCGUAGUAUGAGUACAUCAGUUUUCAAUUUGAAUCAGGUUGGUGGACAGAGAUAUCCUGGAGGUUGGAGUCCAGCACAACAGAUGAAUCAGGCACAAUCUAUGGCACAGUUGAAUUGCCAAACUUGUCAACCAGGAUGGAACCAAAGCGGAGGUGACCCAUGGGCAGAAGGAAUGCGAAUGAACAGCUUCAACGGCUCUAACAUGAGUUUAAACCUUCCACCAAGCGGUUAUUUCCCGAAUCAACAUCCCAUGCACGGUCCACCGCCAACAUGGGCCAAUAAUUGGGGUCCACCUCCCAUGUAUCCAUACCCGAUGGCACCAAUGAUGAAUCCCGCUAUGAUGCCUCCCGUUUACCCACCAAGAUCACGUGCCCAUUCCCGAGCCACAUCAAGGGCAGGUUCACCCGCACUCAGUAUCAAAUCAAGAAAAUCAACGAAAUCAACACGGUCAAAACGGAACAGCUAUGCCGAGCAUGAGGCAACUGACGAUGAAGACUCUGAGGACGAUCAUCGAUCCUUGCGAUCUGGCAAAUCAGGUAUGACCAACACCUCGCGGCGACAACGAAAAGUUUCAUCUACAUCUCAAAGCUAUGAUAUGGAGGAUGAAAGCGAAGGAUUCAGUCAUUCAAAACAACGUACUGCUCAGCGAUCUAGACGCGACAGUAGAGAUAGUCGCGCAGGAUCUACCGGGAAGCCUUUACACAAUGACUGGCUACCUGGGCGUAGGAUUUCAUCAGCAAACUCACAUCAAGAUCGACUACCAAGAAAAACAGCGUCUGAUUCGCCUAUGACACAGGACUCUGAGUCUGAACCGGGAACAAGGGCGAUUGUUCAGGCGAAAAUACAGGAGAAAAUGUCAAAACAGAACCAAGUAUCCUCUCCGGCUCAAUCAAAAGCUGCGCAAUCAUCUUCUUAUGAUGAAGAGGAACCUCCAACACCUCUCAGAAACAAAGAACCUUCGCCGGAACCAGAACCAGCUGUGGUUAUAAGCUCUCCACGUGAACCAGAACCCAGAGAAGAGGUGCCCAAUAAUGAGGAAGACAUACAAUACAUUGAUGACGCUCCUCCAGGGCCACCUCCAGAAGCGCCUGAUUACGACUGGGAAUGCGAAUUUUGUACAUUCUUAAACGAAGCCAAUACAAGGAUUUGUUCAAUUUGCUGUAAAACUCCGACGCAGCAACCAUCAAAGCCUACUGUUCCUGAAAAUCCUCCAGCUACUCAACAACCUCCCAAACAUGAGCCACCAUCCCAACAGGACGCAGUGACCACGAUCACCAAAAAAGCUAGUUCUAUGAAAAUAUCAGCCUCUGAAGAAGAUUCCGAAGAUCCCAGAGGAACUAAGAAUAAGAAGAAAGGACAUCAAAAUAUGUCCCUAGAGGAUAUUUGGGCUACAAUUGAGAAUGAUAUAAACGAUGCAGCAUAUGCAACGGUACCUACUAAUAAAAGAGAUGGUGAAAUCAUUACAGCAAAUACUUUCCAGAAUAAAGACAAUCCACCCCUUAACCGUCAUGAAAAACAAUCGUCUAACCGCUAUAGAGAUCAGGACGAUGACAGGAUGAGUGUUACGAGUCAUAAAGUGUCCACAGCCUGUGGACCCUCACCCCCUAGGGAGGUGAAACGAAAAGUUUCAACAGCGGUUUCGACCGGGACUUCACCACCACCGCAAAGUAUAUCGACUCAGACAUACGAACCACUUCCUCUUCAGCUUGACAGUGAAGGAUCUAGCUACCGCUCGCAACCACGAUCCUAUUCAAUCGCCGCACCGGGAGUUCUACCCCGUAAAAAUGAGGCACGGACUAUGAGCAGGCAGAGCCUGAUAAGCGACAGUCAAAGCCUACCCCCAACACCACCACGCCACGAUAUGAGCCCGUUCAGUACCAGCCAAAACAAAUACAACCAAAAUGCAGGACAACUAGAUGCUGAAACCUUAGCUUAUUUGGAUCGAAGCUUACAGUACUUCAAGGAUCUACAAUUUAAUCAAAAGAGCGAUCGAUAUCGAAGUCAUAGUGAUUUGCGAAAAGAAGAUUUAUACUCGCACCAGCAAAAAUCAUCAAUUGCUGAUUAUCUCAACCUGCAAAAGAAUUACAAUGAGCCACAAUUCGAUUCCUAUGUCUCACGUCGAAAGGACUCAACUACAAACCUAAGAAGCUCAGAAAUGGAACUAGCCCUCCUUUUGCGGGAAGCUGAACAUUACAAAUACACCGCCGAGGAGCUUCAAGCCGCCCUCAAGCAUUGCGGUGAUCUCCAUCCUAUCACUUGGCUCCGUGAAAACUGGUCCAAGCUCAUACAGACCGUCCAAACCCUGGCAACAAAAUACGGUCAAGAACGCAAGGAAAACACCAUUGGUACCAUCUCAUCCAUAGAAGCCCGAGAGGCCUUGCGAAUCCACAAAGGAAAUGUCUGGCAUGCCGUGACCGAAUGUAUUGAGCAGCGUCAAAAGAAGUAUCGUGAUAUUGCCGAUCGUGGAAACUAUUCGAGGGAGGACAUCGUAACAGCUCUGACUGCACAUCAUGGUAAUCUCGAGUUAGCAUUAAUUGAUUUAGGGAAAAGUCAAUUGAAACCAUUUCUCAUGAGAAUCUGGGGACCACCGACGGGAGUUGAAAACGAAAGUGGAAAUCCACUGGGCUUGGGAACAGAGGAUGAAACAACGAAAUUUGAGAUUAAUCCAUCAAUUCAGGAGUUCUUAAACGCCAAUGCAGACAGUAUCAGAUUGCCACAUUUAGGCGAGCAAACAAUGAAGUUGUCACCGUCCAACUUUGCAUCACUCACUAGUCUAUCAACAUUCAGUUCAGAAAACAAGGAUAAUUUCCAAGAACCAGCUGGAAGCGGACGAAGCUCACAAUACACAAGCAACCAAAACCUCUUGAAAGACAUCGAAACACUCAUUGGAAAUAUGGAGCUUAACCAAGCAAGACAAAACGAAGACAUGCUCAAAAAUAUUGAGAACAUGCUUGGCAACCUCCUGUCCCGUCAAACAUCUCGCCCUGAAUCAGCGGAUUUAGAGUUCCCAAGUCUUGAUAGGAUCGUUGCAAAGAGCCCAAUAGUUCACUCACAAAAGACCAAUAAGAGCAACAGGGAAGACAUCAGUAUUAAGAAUUUUGUUUCGAAGCAUAUUCAGGAUAUCAUACCCGAUCUGGUAGAGCAAGUUGAGAAGGAACUUCAAGAGGACAACGAAGAUAUAAUCGAAAUAGUCCAGCAAGACCCAGAACCAUCUGAGCCACCAGAACCACCGGCACCUCCAAUUAGUCAAGACGAAUACAUCAUGGAUGUCAUAAUUACCCCAAAUCUGAAAUACACAAGCGUUCGUGAAGCCUCUCCCACGGUUUUAGUGGAAGCCGGUAAUGUUGAUGAAUUUAAAUAUGAGCCGACGAAUGAUGUACAAGUUGUUUUCGAAGAAAAUAAACUGGAAGAAUUCAAAAGUGUCACAGCUGAGACUCUUGAUAUUCAUGUGAUGAAACAACCUGUGAAAGAAACCCCGAGGAAGAAAGAGCCAAUUAGGCAGCCAAAAAAAGGACGGGGUGGCCAGAGAAAACAGCAGACUGUGGAAGGUCACUCAGUUGAACAACUGGUAUCACCGUCUAAGUCAAACUCUGAACCUGAACCUGCUGGAUUGUCCGUACAAUUACCAGAUACUUCAAAUAAGGUAACUCAAUCGCAGGAGGAAACAAAACAACCUAUUUCUAGCCUCAAUGUAAGCAACCAGACAGCAGAUAACAGAAAAGUCGAAAUUCCAGCAACUUCAUCUGAAGUUUCUACAACCAAUUUCGUGCCUGUACAGACUGCCGUCACUGCUGAGGUUCCGACUUUAGUAGCAGGAAUGAAUCCUUCCCAAGCUCCCAUACAAAACGUCGGAGAGCAACUUACUUCCUCUUCAAGUCUAGAAACAAAGGUUGACAGCCAGACUUCAUCAACUGAACAUACAGUCCAUGCUCCACCUACAAGCAAUAAUGCUCCUUCAUCAACCAGUAUUAAAAAUAGUCAGCAAGGACCCUCUGCAAUCAAAGAUAUGCCAAUAGAGAAAUCUGAACCAAAGCCUGUUGGAAACGCCAAUGAUGGAUUGACAGCAAAUAGCAAAGGACCAUCCACACAGGGAAAGACAAAUAUCAAGACUUCCGCCAAAAAAUCAAAAAUUCCAGUGCGAAGUCGUACCACCAGUAUUACAAGCCCAGUCCCACCUGAAGACAAACCAACAAAAAUAAGUACAGCAACUAUUAUUCUACAAGUCCCUCAGAACCAAGCAACGCAGGACCAACAAAGCCCAAAUGCAGAACAAAUAUUAACUGAGUCAACACAGAAAGUGGCGGUAAAACCAGAAAUGCAGCCACAGGCAGCCUACGAACCCAGACCUAGCAGUGUUGCAGAAAACACUGUGCAACAGAAUCCGAAUACAGUCGAACAAAAUAUUCAAAUUAUCCAAUCUGAUCAACAUCAACAAACGAUUCCUCCACUGGUUUCGCCAGUAACCUCGUCAGAGCUGGUAGCAUCAAUGGAUUCAAACCAAACCACAUCGUCAGAGCUCAAAUCAGACCCAAAUAUCAAUUCAGGAACAAACUCAGAUGAGGAACUUUACAGCGGAAUUGAAGACAAUGAGGAGACAUCGGAAGAGGAGCUCUAUAGCCUACCCUCUGACAAUGAGGAGAUCCAAGACAGCAAAGAAGUAGAAAAUGAAGCAAACACAAUCGGUACUGAGCCCAUUCAAAUGACUGAACAAACAACACUUGAAGAAACUCCACCCGGAGAAACAGCAUUUGAAGAGACAGCGCCUGAAAAAGCUGCUCCGGUAGAAUCAGGACCUGAAGAAAACGCGCCCGAGAUGAUAUCUACUACUGGCAAGGAAGGAAUUAUUAUCCCUGAAGCCGAUCCUCCAGAUGAUAUUGGAGCCCGCUCAAUUGACUCAAGCGCAGAGCAAGCAACACCGCUGCCACCUCAAGAGGAGCCUCCACUAAAACUCUCGAUUCCUUCCACGUCUACUCCAUCAUCCUCUUCCGGAGUACAAAACCCGCCUAACACAUCAGCCUCAUCAAACGAGCCUUUAACUUUAGAAUCACCCAAAUCCCAGAACCUUUCUGCCCUCGUCGAGGACACACAACGUCUUAUCAAGCAAAUGAAAGAAGAGAUCAAUUCAGAUAUCGCAUCAUUUGUAUCAGAUGGUGAUGGAUCUGAUUACUCGGAAGGAUACUCAGAUGAGUGGACCGAUGAUGAUGAAGAGGAUGACUAUUUUGACGAAGAACUGGAUGAAGAAGAGCUUACCGAAGAACAAGAGGGAGAAGAGUAUGAUGAGGAAGGAGAUUGGACUGGUGAUGAAACUAUUAAUGAAAAUGAGGAGCAAGAUGAAACUGAAAUACAGGAAAAUGAUAUAACAGAAGAAGUGGAUGGAGCAGAGGACAUACCUAUUUCACAGGAUACAGUGGAUGCAGAACUGAACAAUGACGAGGAGUUAAUUGAAGGGAAUUCCGUAUCAGAUAACCAACAAGAAGCUGCCGAAGCUUUACAAGAAACAAAUAGAAACGAAGAGAUAACUCCAAAUGAGCCAAAUCACAAUGUAGAAACGUCAGUCCCCAAUGAACCCAUCUCAGCAGGUGAGCAAACGCAACCAGAGCCAUCAAAAUCCUUACCCGAAGGAGGUGACGAGUUACCCUCUGCAAAUGUCCAGCAAGUGCGUAACCAUGAGGAAUCAACGGAGAAUACAAUUCAAAAAACUGACGUUGCAGAGGGAACCCUUGUAGCUGUUAAGGAGCCCCAACUUGUAGUUCAGGAAACUGAGCAGCCUGAACCUAUACCUGAAAACUCCGAGACCGAUCAAACAACAAAUAUGAACCUUCAAGUCAAUAUUAGUGAAGUUACUCCGCUUCCUCUUUCGGAAUCUAGUGCCGAAACAAUUACAGCGGAACCUACUCCACAGCCCACUGAAGCUACCCCACCAACCCUUGGCCAACAAGAUUCUAUGCAAAAGCAGAGCUGGCAAUCUCAAAACCUUGAGUUGCCUAGUCAAGUUUCACAAGCACCCAACCAAACCAAUCAGGAAGUCCUUACAGAAAAAGGCACUUCUCAAUCACAAGACACUGGGCUAUCCAGUGAAAGCUCCCAAACGACUUCAAGCAGCCAACCGCCACCAUCAGAACCUAAUACUUCACCGAAGGACCAAGAAAUUGUCCACAGUCAUACGAGCGAAGUUCAACCCUCUACAACGAAUGUGGAAACCACUACUCCGGAAAAUCCACCACUUCAAACCCACCCAAAUCCUCCAGCCGAUGCAGCUGAUACACAAAAUCAGUCAGAAACUGGUGCCAAUGCUAAUAUAGAAAUUCAACUCAACGGUAACGACUUAAAUUUGUCAGAAGGUCACCCAAUUUCCCCAGAUGAUUUAUCGUCAAUUCCUUACGCGGAUCAAUCGGAAAACGAGGAUAGUGCUCCCACGACAACUAAAACAAACCAAAUAUCACAGAAGCAAAUUGCUCCAACUAGCGCAUCUGAAACACCGCAAGGACAAUCAACGACUUCUUCAAAAACUAUCUCCAACCAAAACUCCAAAACCAAAGCUCCAUCAAAAGACCCUGCUCCACCCGCUGCAACGCCAAUUGUUAAUGUGGAAGUGGUGAAACAAAAGAGCUCAACCCCAUCUACCAGGCAAAGCACCCCGAAGCCCAAUAAAAUCCCCGUUCGAAAAACAUCUAUCACAGGACCUCCUCCCCCAAUCCGCACUGGAUCAAUCCGAGCAAUCCAACAAGAGCUACUCAACAAACAAGCACAAGAUCUCCCAAAAAUCUCACGCGGAGUUAAACCAUCAAAGUUGGUUCCUCCGAAAAUAAUCGGCAAAUCUGUUAUCAGCUCGGUUACUGAAACAAUUUCGAAACUGAUCAAGCCGCAGGACAAUAAGCCAACGACUUCUACGAAAUCUUCACAGAAGCUACCAAAAAAGAAAUACCAUGAGACUUGCUUCAGUGAUGACUAUCAGUCUUCGUCCGAAGACGAAAGGACACAACGAACUAGGAAGCAGAGCGCUCCUGGGAGAGUAUUUAAAACCUAUCAGUCAUUGGAAGAGCCAGAGCCGAAGGAGCAAAUCAUCAAACGAGUUAUCGAGGAGAAGCUAGUCAGUAACAUCCUAGAAGCGGAGCUAGCUGCCGAACUCAUCAGCAUGAAAUUUCAGCAAGAAUCUGCCAUUUGGGCUGCAAAAGAAUGCAGUAAUCUCGAACAUGCAAUUGCACUCCUUCAACAGGAAUGUGAGCUUUGCACAGGAACAUACCCCAUGAAUCAGAUAGUGUCAAUGCUGAAAUGCACCCAUCAAUGCUGUAAGGAAUGCGCUAAAAAUUACUUCACUAUUCAGAUCACUGAUCGCAGCAUCACCGACUGCAAUUGUCCAUUCUGUAAAACACCCGAACUUCAUGAUCCUGAUAUAAAUGAGGACGACAUUUUGGAGUAUUUCUCUAAUCUUGAUAUCUUUUUGAAAAAUAUCGUUGACGAGGAGGUCCAUGAAUUGUUCCAAAGGAAGAUUCGUGAUCGGACACUUAUGCAAGAUCCCACGUUUAAGUGGUGUGUUCAGUGUUCGUCAGGAUUCUUCGCUAGGCCGAAACAGAAGAGGUUGAUUUGUCCAGAUUGUGGAUCAGUCACUUGUGCACAGUGCAGAAAACCGUGGGAAAAACAACACGAAGGAAUAACUUGCGACCAAUUCCAAGAAUGGAAGGAAAACAACGAUCCUGAAAAGCAAGCAGAGGGAGUGGCCUUACAUCUUAAACUGCAUGGAAUCGAUUGUCCUAAGUGUAAAUUCCGAUUCUCCUUAGCCAGAGGGGGAUGCAUGCAUUUCACAUGUACUCAAUGCAAAUAUGAGUUCUGUUAUGGCUGUGGAAAACCCUUUAUGAUGGGGGCGAAAUGCAAGGUGUCACCGUAUUGUGCCAAGUUAGGAUUACAUUCUCACCAUCCCCGCAACUGUUUAUUCUAUUUGCGUGACAAGGAGCCGCACCAACUGCAGGAGUUGUUGAAAAUGUUCAACGUAUCUUAUGACACAGAACCACGCGAUGCUUUACCCAUUACGAACUCCGACGGAGCAAAGGCGGUGAUAAAGUGUCCUAUUCCGUUGCAAAAAGAAAUCCCUACAGGACUAGUAGACACCGUAUGCAGUGGAGAUGUACAAGACGGACAUGCCGGGCUUUGUCGAUUUUAUCUACUGAUGAUCUUGAAAUUGUGAUUAAGCGUGCCAGCAAACGCAUACCACCUCGUCCUUAUGGUAUGGUCGAAGGAUUGUACCGAAGGGAAUUGCUUAAGAUUGUCAAGGAGCAAAUACCGAUGACCUAAUCCCAAACCGAAUGGUUCGAAGCGGAUACAUUAUGUGCGUAACUCAACCCUUGCAUAGACUACGGUCGAAUUGAGUUCAUUCUAGGCCAGAGGAUUCUGCGCGUCGC
This 10177-nucleotide unclassified non-coding RNA is filed under the name Hermetia illucens (black soldier fly). Its description in RNAcentral is "e3 ubiquitin-protein ligase lubel, transcript variant X2". The record is from RNAcentral. Lineage: Eukaryota; Metazoa; Arthropoda; Insecta; Diptera; Stratiomyidae.